Molecule: non-coding RNA, 226 nt
Organism: Biomphalaria pfeifferi
Lineage: Eukaryota; Metazoa; Mollusca; Gastropoda; Planorbidae
Source: the annotation of a GenBank genome assembly
CUGCUCUCCGGUUCUUCCACUGGAUACGAUCUAUACUGAGUAUUCCACGUAAUGCCAUACAUGUAUUGCUAUCCCACAGCAAAAUAAUUCAGUAUGCGUAGUUUCAAUGUGUAUGUUAUCACACCAACCGACGACUUGAUCUGCGUAGACGUAUGCUGACGUAACUAGGCUAACGGUUCUUUUGACGAAGGCUUUGAUCUGGGCUGACGAAUAACUAUUCAUGUGU